GUGCCAGCCGCCGCGGUAAUACGGAGGGUGCAAGCGUUGUCCGGAAUCACUGGGCGUAAAGGGUGCGCAGGCGGGGCAGCAAGUCGGAGGUGAAAGCCCGUGGCUCAACCACGGAAGUGCCUUCGAAACUGUUGCUCUUGAGUCCCGGAGAGGUUGCCGGAAUUCGUGGUGUAGCGGUGAAAUGCGUAGAUAUCACGAGGAACACCAGUGGCGAAAGCGGGUAACUGGACGGGUACUGACGCUGAGGCACGAAAGCGAGGGGAUCGAACAGGAUUAGAUACCCCUGUAGUCC
RNAcentral lists this ribosomal RNA (292 nucleotides) under uncultured bacterium. Its description in RNAcentral is "partial 16S ribosomal RNA". It matches the Rfam family "Bacterial small subunit ribosomal RNA", at positions 505 to 796 of the family's 1533-position model. The record is from RNAcentral.